RNAcentral lists this ribosomal RNA (429 nucleotides) under Chloroflexota bacterium. RNAcentral's name for it is "Chloroflexi bacterium partial 16S ribosomal RNA". It matches the Rfam family "Bacterial small subunit ribosomal RNA", at positions 355 to 776 of the family's 1533-position model. Lineage: Bacteria; Bacillati; Chloroflexota. The record is from RNAcentral.
UGGGGAAUAUUGCACAAUGGGCGCAAGCCUGAUGCAGCCAUGCCGCGUGUGUGAAGAAGGCCUUCGGGUUGCAAAGCACUUUCAGCGGGGAGGAAGGCGGUGAGGUUAAUAACCUCAUCAAUUGACGUUACCCGCAGAAGAAGCACCGGCUAACUCCGUGCCAGCAGCCGCGGUAAUACGGAGGGUGCAAGCGUUAAUCGGAAUUACUGGGCGUAAAGCGCACGCAGGCGGUCUGUCAAGUCGGAUGUGAAAUCCCCGGGCUCAACCUGGGAACUGCAUUCGAAACUGGCAGGCUAGAGUCUUGUAGAGGGGGGUAGAAUUCCAGGUGUAGCGGUGAAAUGCGUAGAGAUCUGGAGGAAUACCGGUGGCGAAGGCGGCCCCCUGGACAAAGACUGACGCUCAGGUGCGAAAGCGUGGGGAGCAAACAGG